This 253-nucleotide ribosomal RNA is filed under the name uncultured bacterium. RNAcentral's name for it is "partial 16S ribosomal RNA". It matches the Rfam family "Bacterial small subunit ribosomal RNA", at positions 524 to 776 of the family's 1533-position model. The record is from RNAcentral.
UACAGAGACUGCAAGCGUUAUUCGGAUUCACUGGGCGUAAAGGGUGCGCAGGCGGCCAUGUGUGUCAGGUGUGAAAGCCCGAGGCUCAACCUCGGAAUUGCGCCUGAAACUACAUGGCUAGAGUACUGGAGAGGGUAGCGGAAUUCCCGGUGUAGAGGUGAAAUUCGUAGAUAUCGGGAGGAACACCGGUGGCGAAGGCGGCGGCCUGGGUUGACACUGACGCUGAGGCGCGAAAGCGUGGGGAGCAAACAGG